This is a small nucleolar RNA of Betta splendens (Siamese fighting fish), 65 nucleotides long. The record is from Ensembl. NCBI's taxonomy places the organism in Eukaryota, Metazoa, Chordata, Actinopteri, Anabantiformes, Osphronemidae.
CUGUACAUGAUGAUACAUACCGCCCCAGUCUGAUAAAUCAUGACUGAUUGGUAUCCUGAUUACUA